GAGGAAUAAGCAUCGGCUAACUCCGUGCCAGCAGCCGCGGUAAUACGGGGGAUGCAAGCGUUAUCCGGAAUCAUUGGGCGUAAAGCGCCUGUAGGUUGUUUAAUAAGUCUGUUGUUAAAGACUAGGGCUUAACCCUAGAAAAGCAAUGGAAACUACUAGACUAGAGUAUGGCAGGGGUAGAGGGAAUUUCUAGUGUAGCGGUGAAAUGCGUAGAUAUUAGAAAGAACACCGGCGGCGAAAGCGCUCUACUGGACCAUUACUGACACUCAGAGGCGAAAGCUAGGGGAGCAAAAGGGAUUAGAUACCCCUGUAGUCCUAGCCGUAAACGAUGGAUACUAGAUGUUGCGCAAUUUGUGCAGUAUCUUAGCUAACGCGUUAAGUAUCCCGCCUGGGGAGUACGCUCGCAAGGGUGAAACUCAAAGGAAUUGACGGGGGCCCGCACAAGCGGUGGAGCAUGUGGUUUAAUUCGAUGCAACGCGAAGAACCUUACCAGGGCUUGACAUACUACAAAUCUUUUCGAAACGAAAGAGUGCCUUCGGGAAUGUAGAUACAGGUGGUGCAUGGCUGUCGUCAGCUCGUGUCGUGAGAUGUUGGGUUAAGUCCCGCAACGAGCGCAACCCUCAUUUUUAGUUGCCAAUUUAUUGGGAUUUCUAGAGAGACUGCCGGUGACAAACCGGAGGAAGGUGAGGAUGACGUCAAGUCAGCAUGCCCCUUAUGCCCUGGGCCACACACGUGCUACAAUGGCGAAGACAAAGAGUCGCAAACCUGCGAAGGCUAGCUAAUCUCGUAAACUUCGUCUAAGUUCGGAUUGCAGGCUGCAACUCGCCUGCAUGAAG
Molecule: ribosomal RNA, 836 nt
Filed under: Haptophyta environmental samples
Lineage: Eukaryota; Haptophyta
Description: bacterial SSU rRNA
Rfam family: Bacterial small subunit ribosomal RNA
Source: RNAcentral